UAGGAUCGGAGGAAUACCAUGGGGAAGGCACCCAUCUGGCUUAAUACUGAUGCUGAGGUAAGAAAGCAUGGGGGGCAAACAGGAUUAGAUCCCAGGUAGUUCAUGCGUAAACGAUGUCUACUAGCCGUUGGGGCGGUGAGGCUUUAUUGGCGCAGCUAACGCGAUAAGUAGACCGCGUGGGGAGUACGGUCGCAAGACUAAAACUCAAAUGAAUUGACGGGGGCCCGCACAAGCGGUGGAGCAUGUGGUUUAAUUCGAUGCAACGCGAAGACCCUUACCUGGCCUUGACAUACUAGAAACUUUCCAGAGAUGGAUUGGUCCCUUCGGGAAUCUAGAUACAGGUGCUGCAUGGCUGUCGUCAGCUCUUGUCGUGAGAUGUUGGGUUAAGUCCCGCAACGAGCGCAACCCUUUUCCUUACUUGCCAGCAUUUGGGAUGGGAACUUUAAGGAUACUGCCAGUGACAAACUGGAGGAAGGCGGGGACGACGUCAAGUCAUCAUGGCCCUUACGGCCAGGGUUACACACGUGCUACAAUGGUCGGUACAAAGGGUUGCUACACACCGAUGUGAUGCUAAUCUCAAAAAGCCGAUCGUAGUCCGGAUUGGAGUCUGCAACUCGACUCCAUGAAGUCGGAAUCGCUAGUAAUCGCGGAUCAGAAUGCCGCGGUGAAUACGUUCCCGGGCCUUGUACACACCGCCCGUCACACCAUGGGAGUUUGUUGCACCAGAAGUAGGUAGUCUAACCGCAAGGAGGACGCUUACCACGGUGUGCCGA
Molecule: ribosomal RNA, 773 nt
Filed under: Acinetobacter junii
Lineage: Bacteria; Pseudomonadati; Pseudomonadota; Gammaproteobacteria; Moraxellales; Moraxellaceae
Description: bacterial SSU rRNA
Rfam family: Bacterial small subunit ribosomal RNA
Source: RNAcentral